Molecule: ribosomal RNA, 477 nt
Filed under: uncultured bacterium
Lineage: Bacteria
Description: bacterial SSU rRNA
Rfam family: Bacterial small subunit ribosomal RNA
Source: RNAcentral
AAUGAACGCUGGCGGCGCGCCUAAUACAUGCAAGUCGAGCGAGAAGACGUAGCAAUACGUUUGUAAAGCGGCGAACGGGUGAGGAAUACAUGGGUAACCUACCCUCGAGUGGGGAAUAACUAGCCGAAAGGUUAGCUAAUACCGCGUACGCUUCUUGGACUUCGGUUCAGGGAGGAAAGCGAUACCGUGGGUAUCGCGCUCUUGGAUGGGCUCAUGUCCUAUCAGCUUGUUGGUGAGGUAACGGCUCACCAAGGCUUCGACGGGUAGCUGGUCUGAGAGGACGAUCAGCCACACUGGCACUGCGACACGGGCCAGACUCCUACGGGAGGCAGCAGUAAGGAAUAUUGCGCAAUGGGCGAAAGCCUGACGCAGCGACGCCGCGUGGGGGAUGAAGGUCUUCGGAUUGUAAACCCCUUUCGGGUAGGGAAGAUGGGACGGGCGAACCGUUCGGACGGUACCUCCAGAAGCAGCCACGGC